UGGGGAAUCUUAGACAAUGGGCGCAAGCCUGAUCUAGCCAUACCGCGUGAGUGACGAAGGCCCUAGGGUCGUAAAGCUCUUUCGCCAGGGAUGAUAAUGACAGUACCUGGUAAAGAAACCCCGGCUAACUCCGUGCCAGCAGCCGCGGUAAUACGGAGGGGGUUAGCGUUGUUCGGAAUUACUGGGCGUAAAGCGCACGUAGGCGGAUUUGUCAGUCAGGGGUGAAAUCCCGGGGCUCAACCCCGGAACUGCCUUUGAUACUGCAAGUCUAGAGAUCGAGAGAGGUGAGUGGAAUUCCGAGUGUAGAGGUGAAAUUCGUAGAUAUUCGGAGGAACACCAGUGGCGAAGGCGGCUCACUGGCUCGAUACUGACGCUGAGGUGCGAAAGCGUGGGGAGCAAACAGGAUUAGAUACCCCCGUAGUCC
Molecule: ribosomal RNA, 424 nt
Filed under: uncultured prokaryote
Description: bacterial SSU rRNA
Rfam family: Bacterial small subunit ribosomal RNA
Source: RNAcentral